This 219-nucleotide long non-coding RNA is filed under the name Lathyrus oleraceus (garden pea). Its description in RNAcentral is "Pisum sativum (pea) long non-coding RNA (PSAT_LNC005550)". Lineage: Eukaryota; Viridiplantae; Streptophyta; Magnoliopsida; Fabales; Fabaceae. The record is from RNAcentral.
UUGGUGACAAUAUACGGUCCAUCAUAGUUAGGAGUCCACUUGCCCCUGUGAUCUGUCUGAGGAGGAAGGAUCCUUUUCAACACCAAAUCUCCGACUUGGAAACAUCGAGGAUGCACUUUCUGAUCAAAGGCUCUCUUCAUCCGACUCUGAUACAACUGCCCAUGACAAAUGGCUGCCAUUCGCUUCUCUUCGAUAAGACUCAACUCAUUGAACCUUGUC